GGAGAGAUGACUGAGUGGUUAAAAGUGCUAAAUUGCUAAUUUAAGAUUUAACUAGAUAUUAAUAUCUAUUAAAACAAGGGUUCAAAUCCCUUUCUCUCCU
RNAcentral lists this transfer RNA (100 nucleotides) under Nephromyces sp. ex Molgula occidentalis. RNAcentral describes it as "tRNA-Ser". It matches the Rfam family "tRNA". From Rfam's summary of the family: Transfer RNA (tRNA) molecules are approximately 80 nucleotides in length. The record is from RNAcentral. Lineage: Eukaryota; Apicomplexa; Aconoidasida; Nephromycida.